RNAcentral lists this unclassified non-coding RNA (252 nucleotides) under Ascomycota sp. RNAcentral's name for it is "partial contains small subunit ribosomal RNA, internal transcribed spacer 1, and 5.8S ribosomal RNA". The stretch from base 1 to 47 matches the Rfam family "Eukaryotic small subunit ribosomal RNA", at positions 1785 to 1831 of the family's 1831-position model. The record is from RNAcentral. Lineage: Eukaryota; Fungi; Ascomycota.
AAAGUCGUAACAAGGUCUCCGUUGGUGAACCAGCGGAGGGAUCAUUAAAAAUAGGGCACUUAUGCGCUAUACACCACUGUCAACAUACCCUGUCUCGUUGCCUCGGCGGGCGGCUCCCGGGGGAGCCCUCCUGGCCAUCGCGGUGCUCGCCGGCAGCGACCCCCCCUUCUCUACUCUGAACGUCUCCUCUGAGUGGCACGCUGAAAAGCAAAAAAUUUAUCAAAACUUUCAACAACGGAUCUCUUGGCUCUG